CGUUUACGGGGCUGUGCCCCCCCAACCAA
Molecule: transfer RNA, 29 nt
Filed under: Cyrtodactylus muangfuangensis
Lineage: Eukaryota; Metazoa; Chordata; Lepidosauria; Squamata; Gekkonidae
Description: partial tRNA-Tyr
Source: RNAcentral